CAAGACUUAAAAUUACUUUUUUUUCCCCCCUAACCCAGGAUUCUUCAACAAUCUUUCAGCUUGGUACUCUCUUAAGACAGAAAACGAUGAAUUAUUUUGCAUCAAAGGCAAAGCUGCGCUGGAUGUCCGAAGGUAUAGGUACUCCUAUGUACUCAGAACUGAGCUGAAAUCCGAACAGAAGCCAAGACUCCUUCCAUCCCAGAACAUCUCCCACAGUUUCCUACCUUCCUUGGUCAAAGCCAGCAGACUGGUGUCUUUCUCCACUUUGACUAGGAAGUGGGUCAAAGGUGGUGUGGGGGCUUCAGUGGUCUAGAUAACUCACAAACAAAGCAUACUUCUUACUAUUGAGAAGGACUCCAGGGAGAUAUCUGGGACAUCAUUUGCAACCAGCCAGGGAUCCUAUUGCCUUCAGACUCCCCACAGUGCUAACAAGACCUGCAGAAUUGGGGAGGAAAUCCCCAUUAAGAUUAUUUAAGUCUAUUUAUAUUAUAAUAAAAUAAAUGUAAAUAAGACUUAAAUGAAGGCAGGUUCAGAUCUUUCUGACACUGUACAGGAUAUAACUCAGCACGCAGUGUAAAUUCUGUAAAGGUUAAUGUAUUUAAACAUAUUUGACACAUAAAGCUGCCAGAUCCGACUUUAAUCACUCACCAAGUGUAAUUGCCUUUCCAUGGGUCCCUCUGCACCAGAACAUGUGCUUAAAACACGAGGCUGUGUGGAAAUCUGGGGUGUGAUGGGGACAAAUACUUCUUGGCUGUCAGGGUUUGUGAUUUGCUUUGAUAGAUUUGGCACCGAUUUUAUUGGCUGCACACCCUAAGUGACCAUUAUUUUGCUUUGUUUUG
Molecule: long non-coding RNA, 839 nt
Organism: Peromyscus californicus insignis
Lineage: Eukaryota; Metazoa; Chordata; Mammalia; Rodentia; Cricetidae
Exons: 3
Source: RefSeq, a predicted model, not a curated record